AACGUAGGUCACAAGCGUUGUCCGGAAUUACUGGGUGUAAAGGGAGCGCAGGCGGGAAGACAAGUUGGAAGUGAAAUCUAUGGGCUCAACCCAUAAACUGCUUUCAAAACUGUUUUUCUUGAGUAGUGUAGAGGUAGGCGGAAUUCCCGGUGUAGCGGUGGAAUGCGUAGAUAUCGGGAGGAACACCAGUGGCGAAGGCGGCCUACUGGGCACCAACUGACGCUGAGGCUCGAAAGUGUGGGUAGCAAACAGG
Molecule: ribosomal RNA, 253 nt
Filed under: Faecalibacterium prausnitzii
Lineage: Bacteria; Bacillati; Bacillota; Clostridia; Eubacteriales; Oscillospiraceae
Description: partial 16S ribosomal RNA
Rfam family: Bacterial small subunit ribosomal RNA
Source: RNAcentral